CUAGCUGGUCUGAGAGGAUGACCAGCCACACUGGAACUGAGACACGGUCCAGACUCCUACGGGAGGCAGCAGUGGGGAAUAUUGCACAAUGGGCGCAAGCCUGAUGCAGCCAUGCCGCGUGUAUGAAGAAGGCCUUCGGGUUGUAAAGUACUUUCAGCGGGGAGGAAGGGAGUAAAGUUAAUACCUUUGCUCAUUGACGUUACCCGCAGAAGAAGCACCGGCUAACUCCGUGCCAGCAGCCGCGGUAAUACGGAGGGUGCAAGCGUUAAUCGGAAUUACUGGGCGUAAAGCGCACGCAGGCGGUUUGUUAAGUCAGAUGUGAAAUCCCCGGGCUCAACCUGGGAACUGCAUCUGAUACUGGCAAGCUUGAGUCUCGUAGAGGGGGGUAGAAUUCCAGGUGUAGCGGUGAAAUGCGUAGAGAUCUGGAGGAAUACCGGUGGCGAAGGCGGCCC
Molecule: ribosomal RNA, 452 nt
Filed under: Escherichia coli
Lineage: Bacteria; Pseudomonadati; Pseudomonadota; Gammaproteobacteria; Enterobacterales; Enterobacteriaceae
Description: bacterial SSU rRNA
Rfam family: Bacterial small subunit ribosomal RNA
Source: RNAcentral